GCUUUUGUGAUGUAACUGGGGGCAUAUCCAGUUGGGAAUCAGAAAAUCCGUGGUUCGAAUCCCGGUAAAGGUA
This 73-nucleotide transfer RNA is filed under the name Stegodyphus mimosarum. It matches the Rfam family "tRNA". From Rfam's summary of the family: Transfer RNA (tRNA) molecules are approximately 80 nucleotides in length. Their secondary structure includes four short double-helical elements and three loops (D, anti-codon, and T loops). Further hydrogen bonds mediate the characteristic L-shaped molecular structure. tRNAs have two regions of fundamental functional importance: the anti-codon, which is responsible for specific mRNA codon recognition, and the 3' end, to which the tRNAs corresponding amino acid is attached (by aminoacyl-tRNA synthetases). tRNAs cope with the degeneracy of the genetic code in two manners: having more than one tRNA (with a specific anti-codon) for a particular amino acid; and 'wobble' base-pairing, i.e. permitting non-standard base-pairing at the 3rd anti-codon position. The record is from Rfam by way of RNAcentral. Lineage: Eukaryota; Metazoa; Arthropoda; Arachnida; Araneae; Eresidae.